AUACAGGGCAAUUGUCUUGUAAUUGGAAUGAUGGUGACGUAAAAUCUCACCAGAGUAACAAUUGGAGGGCAAGUCUGGUGCCAGCAGCCGCGGUAAUUCCAGCUCCAAUAGCGUAUAUUAAACUUGUUGCAGUUAAAAAGCUCGUAGUUGAAUUUCUGCGUUGCCCGACUCGGCUACUUGCCUUGUCUGGUUUCGCUUUUGGGGUUUUCCCCUUUUUACUUUGAGAAAAUUAGAGUGUUUCAAGCAGACUUGUGUCUUGAAUACUUCAGCAUGGAAUAAUAAAGUAGGACUUUGGUUCUAUUUUGUU
Molecule: ribosomal RNA, 307 nt
Filed under: Babesia gibsoni
Lineage: Eukaryota; Apicomplexa; Aconoidasida; Piroplasmida; Babesiidae
Description: SSU rRNA
Rfam family: Eukaryotic small subunit ribosomal RNA
Source: RNAcentral